GAUGAACGCUGGCGGCGUGCCUAAUACAUGCAAGUCGAGCGAACAGACGAGGAGCUUGCUCCUCUGACGUUAGCGGCGGACGGGUGAGUAACACGUGGAUAACCUACCUAUAAGACUGGGAUAACUUCGGGAAACCGGAGCUAAUACCGGAUAAUAUAUUGAACCGCAUGGUUCAAUAGUGAAAGACGGUUUUGCUGUCACUUAUAGAUGGAUCCGCGCCGCAUUAGCUAGUUGGUAAGGUAACGGCUUACCAAGGCAACGAUGCGUAGCCGACCUGAGAGGGUGAUCGGCCCCACUGGAACUGAGACACGGUCCAGACUCCUACGGGAGGCAGCAGUAGGGAAUCUUCCGCAAUGGGCGAAGGCUUGACGGAGCAACGCCGCGUGAGUGAUGAAGGUCUUCGGAUCGUAAAACUCUGUUAUUAGGGAAGAACAAAUGUGUAAGUAACUAUGCACGUCUUGACGGUACCUAAUCAGAAAGCCACGGCUAACUACGUG
Molecule: ribosomal RNA, 497 nt
Filed under: uncultured bacterium
Lineage: Bacteria
Description: partial 16S ribosomal RNA
Rfam family: Bacterial small subunit ribosomal RNA
Source: RNAcentral